RNAcentral lists this ribosomal RNA (472 nucleotides) under uncultured Methanosaeta sp. RNAcentral's name for it is "bacterial SSU rRNA". It matches the Rfam family "Archaeal small subunit ribosomal RNA", at positions 871 to 1337 of the family's 1478-position model. The record is from RNAcentral. Lineage: Archaea; Methanobacteriati; Methanobacteriota; Methanomicrobia; Methanotrichales; Methanotrichaceae.
UUGACGGGGAGCACACAACAGGUGGAGCUUGCGGUUUAAUUGGAUUCAACGCCGGAAAUCUUACCGGGACCGACAGCAAUAUGAAGGCCAGGCUGAAGACUUUGCCGGAUUAGCUGAGAGGUGGUGCAUGGCCGUCGUCAGUUCGUACUGUGAAGCAUCCUGUUAAGUCAGGCAACGAGCGAGACCCACGCCCACAGUUGCCAGCGUACUCUCCGGAGUGACGGGUACACUGUGGGGACCGCCGCUGCUAAAGCGGAGGAAGGAAUGGGCAACGGUAGGUCAGUAUGCCCCGAAUAUCCCGGGCUACACGCGAGCUACAAUGGUUGGUACAAUGGGUAUCUACCCCGAAAGGGGACGGGAAUCUCCUAAAACCAAUCUUAGUUCGGAUUGUGGGCUGCAACUCGCCCACAUGAAGCUGGAAUCUGUAGUAAUCGUGUCUCAAAAUGGCACGGUGAAUAUGUCCCUGCUCCUU